AAGAUUAAGGAGAUAUUCACUGAACUUUCCUAGCCAGGCCACAGCUUCUACAUACCUAUUACAAGGCUGUUAAACCUCACUAAAUGUGUUUGCAAUAACUACUCGCUAUUUCAUUAUGGAGCAAUAACUCUCCUUAUUGAGUCUAAAUUAAAUCCUUAUUUGAGACACUUCAUUUAAGGUGUUAUUGGGAAACCCACCUUGGAAGAAGCAGAACCAACCUUUGCUUUAUAGCUUACAAGAUUAUAUUAUACACAUAUGUAUAAAUGUCUAAUUUCAGGGCAUUACACCUCAAUGGCUGCAGCUCACAGCUGUAGUCUCCAGAGUCAGACUUAAGACAUAGACUGGAGCUUUGCAUCACACCAAGACCUCCAGAAUGUCUGUGGCUCUCUCCUUUCCCAGUGAUACCUCUUUUCUUUGCAGCUGUUGCUGUGUGGGGAACCAGCAUCCCUCUUAAACUUCCUUUUACAAAGGCUUCCUGCCCUGAACUAUGGAGGCCUCCCCAGGUGUGUUCGGUUGCCAUGUUUAGCCUGAGAUGAGUUAAUAACUUUCUGAAAGCUGGCAUGAAAUUGGUCCAAGCACCUUGUUCCAUUGUGAAUGGGUAGAGGGAAAGCAUAAGAGUUAAUUUGCAGAUUUGAAUGUGAUCAUGCAGGACCCUUCUGGUAGCCCAUGAUGAUGUGACUGGUUCAGCUAUGAUGCAAAAGACCAGCUUUGUACUUCAUGACCAAUAGAAGUAAUGGCAAAGGUCUUUGCUCAGGGAGCUGUAGUGCUGCCUCACAUAUGUCAUGCCCCUAUAAAAGUCAAGACUGUGAUUCAGGAUUUAAAAAAUAUCAAUAAUAUUGAUCAGCACUGACUGGGAGCAUUUACUGGUAGAACUCAGAGAGCUUUCUAGAAUGGUAGCUCUCUCCUACUUUACAGCUGAGGCAAUUGAAAUGCCAUUUCUAAGCUGCAAUAGAGUGAGCGGUGAAGGGGUGAUGAUAGCCUACCUCUGCUAAAUCCUAGCUCAGUCCUCUUUGCUUGUUAAAGAAAAAGAGGCACCUUGUAGUGAAUGUUUUCAACAACAAUCCUUCAAAAACUCAGCAUCCAGCAAUGAGACUGUGUAUAUAGAAAUCACAAUGGAAAGGGAUGGGCUGGCUCAAAAAAUAACAGAAUAUUUUUAGAUCCUCCUGCUUUUAGAUCACUGAUCAAGGCUGGUGAUGGCCUGUUCAGCUGCCCCUUGAAACAACACUGGUUUGUUUCAUCUGUCAUCAUUGCCAAGGGCACUACUUUCUCCCAUGGUUUAACUCUCUGGUUCUUUGAGGCAAAACAACUCAGGAGUUGAGGAACAACAGAAACCAGUCUCUGUUCUUCCCUAGAAAUGCUCUGGUGGAGAAACACAUGGGAAACUCAGCAGGUCUGGGGCUUCAGCAAGCUCAUAAUGCAGGGUGCAUGCCUUUUGAUAAGGAAAUUGUAUUUCUAAAACAAAGUGUUUCAAGAAGGAAGGGGUGAAAUCUCUUCCAUUCUCUGCUCCUUCCUCCCACUGAGGUGAUCUAUACUGCUAAGAGACCACCCUAAUAAACACAACCCAUCUGGAUCAUUUAGAGCUGGAGACAUUCACAUCCUUGCCAGGCUCUAGACUCAGCAUCUUGGGUCUAUUUCUAACACAAAGUGGAGAAUUUUGCCUAAAAGCUAUUGCUGGUUCUUGGAGAGGAAACACAUUUUGAAUCUUGACAGUCCUGGGGCUGGGCUAACAUCAUUAUACCAGUGUUUUCUCCUCCCAGAGUCCUUUUAAACUCAAGAGUCUGUGUUUAUACAGUUCUUAGCCCAAAGGGGGGCUCAUUCUGUGUUAGCCCUUUGGCACUGCAGCAAUAAACAGGAUUAAUAACUGGAGUCAGCAGGGCUCAGUACCCGUUAGAAUUUCCCAUGGACUAUCCAGAAGGUGCUGUUCCUACAAGCAUCUUGGCAGUGAAUUAUUUAUGGGCAGCAUAAGGAUCGUGGUGCUUGCCAGUUUAUUAGAUUUAUAACUAGCUGUGUUAGGUCCAUUGUGUGUGUGUCAGUGCAUGUACGAGCAUGUACUUGUUCAGCUGUUUCUCUCCAGUCCUCUGCUAGUUAGGGAAGAUCUGCUCACACACAUUUGCAAUAUAAACACAUCACUUUGUGACUCAGAUGUGAGAAAAUCCAGGAGAGGAAUAUGAUUGUUACACAGGAGGGAAAAGUUUGUUUAGGUGCCUUAACUACAGAUGCAAACGUUCAUCCAAGCACAGGUUGAAAAACUGAGAUGUGAGAUUAUUUGAAGGGUGAGAAAGUUUGCUUUUCUUCUGAGUUUUACAGCUUCUUAGAGCUCUGCUUAUGUGGGUUUUAUAGGGAGACAUGAACUUGAACCUCCUUUUAUGACAGAUGUGUUGUUUCGAUGCCCAAGGAACUCCAGAUGGGCAGUCUUCUGGUUGGGUAUCAUGAAGGAAUUUAAACACAAUUCUCUCUUCAAACUCAUGGAGAGGAGCACUUGCCUUCCAGCUAGUAUCUGCUAUUCCAGUUCCAACAGAACUCAGAGUAGAUGUUAUUAACGGCUCAUCUUUUCCUGUUCUCUCUGAUACAUCUGUGCUAUGAUGUUGCCAAUAGAGUCAUCACUGUGUCUGAAGGUGCUGGCCUAGAGCCAUGAAACUCUACAACACCUCCUUCUGAAGAGGCACAGGUGACUGUAUUGCUAUCAAGAGAGGUGACAGGAGCAAAGACCUUUCUUCAUGCAAAUGAUCCAAGCAAGGAAGCAAAACCUCUUACAGCCAGAGAAGAACUGGCUGAAAGCAGAAUGUUUUGCAAAGUUUUCUGUGAGUCCUCAUAAACUCUGCUGUAGAGAGAACCCCUUUGAGCUGUUCAGUAAAUUGGAUGGUUUAAAUAAUAUAUGGACUGUCUUUCUGGAUUCAUGAGUACUGCUGUGAGAAGCAUUGACUUGUUCAGCCUGCAACAGUCUGCUUUCUUUUGCUUUAAAAAGUUAACUUCACUAGGCAUCAAAAUCUCACAUCUGACUUUGGAAUCUGCUUCUGGUGAGACCUGAGCUGGCUGGUGUGCAUUGCACAGCUCUGUUUUUGUGCUGUCUUGCUUGAGUUCCCAGGUGCACUUUUUCUAAAGGUUAUUUAAAAAGUCUGACAGCAGAAAAAGGAAAAAGGCAUUUUCCCUGCGAAAAUGACCUGGUCCACCAAUUUCUUAUUCCUGACCAAGUUCAGAUACCUACCUCCAGCCUCCGGACUCCUAUGUUUAUUGCUAUUUGGACUAAGGUUGCAUAUAAAGUCUGAAGAUCAACAGCUCACUGGAUCAUAUUCUUAUGGCUUCGUUCCAUGACUCCAUCCAUCUCCAACUGUCAAAAGACGCUUUCAGAUGAUUGAUCCAAAGUACCAUCCUAAAGUCUAGUGGGAUGCAUCCAAAAUCAGGUUAAAAAUGUUAUUAGGGGUGCUGUCUUCUUCAUUUUUUACUCCCCAAGAUUACCUGAGUGAGAUCUAUGCCUUUAAGCCCUAUCUCCAUAGUUGAACCAGGGGCAAAUAACGACAGUGAAACUACAGAGUAAGAGACAUCAUUGAAGAAGAGCUGCCCAUGCAAGGAUUCAAAGGUAGGGGCCUUGAGCCAGUCAGCGUUGCUUUCAGUAUCUAAAAACAGUUUAGUCAUGCUAGGAUCCUUCUGCAAUCAAUGGGGAGAAAUAUGCUCUUGGGUUGUGAUUCGUGUGAUCUGCUUUAGGCAUCUACUUCGAAAUUGGCUGAAUUGCACCUCUGGUACCAUUGACUGUAUAUUGAUAUCUGUCUACUGUAAGAAAGGAGCUUUGGGUGACUAGCUUUGACUUAGAGGUUGGAAUUUAAUCAGAUUAAUCCACCUUGUAACUCUAUAUGUACACCAGUUCUCUCUUGUUGCCAUAUAGACGUGGCAGACAUUACAAGCAGUGCCAUUUUUUCUUUUCUUUGGGACACUGCAAAUAAAUCAGAAUCAGAAAGUAUUCAAAAAGAGCAGCAAUAUUAGGUAGGGAUAACUUGUACCUGAAGCUGGGUAGAGAAUAGUAUUUGAUUCUCCUCAGCACAUUUGCAGGAAUCAAGGGCACCAAGGGUGAUUUUGUGCCUAAAAAUAAAUAUAUAUUGGUGAAGUGAGCUUUCCUGGAGUCUUCUGGCAAUUUGUCACAGAAAGGAAAAAGGUCCUCCCUCCCCUACUGAGAUAUUCUUCCUUGAAAGCUUUGGACAAUUACUACAUUUUACCUUUUCCACCGCAGCAUGGAUGCUUUCUUCUUUUUAACAGUUUGUCUAUGAGCAUUUUAGCUUCAGCUUAAUAAGAGAGGAUUGAUGCUUGCACUCUAUAGAGAGGUUGUACAGGGCAACGUUUCUGCUUGUCGCAGUAAGAAUGUUAUUGAAAAAGACACCUCAGGCAUGUGGAUGGGGGAAUAAUAAUAACAAGCAACAUGUUUUGUUUCUCUACUAUGAAACAAAACUAAAAAAGAAACAAUGAUUCCCCAUUCGCCCCCCCAAAAACAAACAAACAAAAAGGCAGUCCAUGUUCCAAAACCAAAAGCAGGUGCAAAGAGAGGUUAACAGAUCUCGAUGAUGUAAAAUGAUUGUCACUAUGAAAAUAGAAAUCCUACCAAAACAAAAUGAUAACACAUUAUGUUCAACCCUCCCACUGGGAAUAAAAAGAAAAUCUCACCUAUUUGCCUCAUGGCUCUGGCAAAAGUGACUUGGCUUCAACCAAGAUCUACAAAGAAGUGCCUUCAUUCUCUUACUUAUUUCAAUUACCCACCUUCCCAGAAGAUGCUUUGAGAAAGGCUGUACAGUAAUCAAGAAAUAAUGAAGUAAAUUUCAAAGAAUGCCGACACAGAACUAUUUCUAAUUAGAACUAUAGUUUUAUAUAGUUCUAUAUAUAGUUCUUUUUCUGUAUAGAACUAUCAUAGCAUGGCUGCAUUGCAACUGCACACCAAAGACCACUUUGGGAGCCUAACAUCAAGACAGUAUUCCCUUACUGAACCAUGUUUAUGCCUCCCAUAUUCGGUGGUUUUUCUUCCCCACAGUUUGAACUUGCACUGAUGCUUCUUUGGACCCAUAGUCCCAUUUCCUUCCUUUCAAAUAGAACCUCUAAUAAUGUCUUUCUUAUUGUUCUCUAUAGAUGUCUUUAUGUAGUGAAAACUGUUAUCAACAACCUGUCCAUUGUUUCACUACAUAUCAGUGGUGGGAAAUCCAGGACAGAACAUGAGAGCUUAUCUCCAUGGAGUGGAUGGACUUGGGCCUGGCUUUGCUUCCUCAGAGAUCAGAGCCCCCUCCGGCUUCACCUUCACAGCGAAAAAGACAUAAACCCUACAGCUCCACACUUGCAAGGCAGAGCAAUGCUGCAGCCUCGUGUGCCCUUCGACUCACUCCUUUUCCCUUGGCCAGGGCCUCAAGCAGAGCAGUGACUGAAGAGAGGUGGAGCCCCAUGACUGACUCCCCUGAGAACAUAACUCUGGUUUCUCUGACACCCCAAGCAAGAGCGAGAUGUCAGGAUCCUUCCUUUGGGUUGCUGCAUGGUGAAUCCCAGCCUGCCUAUGGUCUUUUAUGUGUCUACCCCACUCCUGUACCCGCUGAAUGCCAGUGCCAGUGAUGUUCUGCCAGCCAUCUCACAGCCUAGGCAGCAGGAAGAAGAAUCCUUAACACAGUGCAGUACAUUUUGUUCUCAUGUCUGUUUCAUGGACACUGGUAAUUCCUCCACCCUUUUGGGGGAGAUGGAUUGCCCAAAGUGGGUUAGAGGAAGAUUUGGGAAGGGAGAGAAAUGAGCUGUGUCAUUUAUACCUGGAGCAUUCUUGCCAGAGUCCUUCACCUCCAAGGAAUACUUCGAGUUGUUACCAAGGGGCAGAAGUACAAUAAAUAUGUGACAAAAAGUCAGACUGGGAGGCGUCAUUAACUAUAGUCCAAAGUACCCCAGCACAAGUUGGUACUGAAGGUUAUCAUCCAUGUAAUUUACAGAUGAUGUGGAUAUUUACAAUCUCACCUCUUAGAUAGGAUGUUGGCCAAGCUGGGAGCCUUGUUUAGCAAAAUAUUUACAUAUAUUUUUGGUAUUUAGGUCCAGUGGAAGUCAAGACAUCAGAACCUUAAUGAUGUUACAA
Molecule: non-coding RNA, 6079 nt
Organism: Coturnix japonica (Japanese quail)
Lineage: Eukaryota; Metazoa; Chordata; Aves; Galliformes; Phasianidae
Source: RefSeq, a predicted model, not a curated record